This 480-nucleotide ribosomal RNA is filed under the name uncultured Lactobacillus sp. RNAcentral's name for it is "bacterial SSU rRNA". It matches the Rfam family "Bacterial small subunit ribosomal RNA", at positions 69 to 524 of the family's 1533-position model. The record is from RNAcentral. Lineage: Bacteria; Bacillati; Bacillota; Bacilli; Lactobacillales; Lactobacillaceae.
GCACUCUGUGAAACAAGAUACAGGCUAGCGGCGGACGGGUGAGUAACACGUGGGUAAACCUGACCCAAGAGAUCGGGGAUAACACCUGGGAAACAGAUGCUAAUACCCGGAUAACAACAGAUGAUGCCUAUCAACUGUUUAAAGAUGGUUCUGCUAUCACUCUUGGAUGGACCUGCGGUGCAUUAGCUAGUUGGUAGGGGUAACGGGCCUACCCAAGGCGAUGAUGCAUAGCCCGGUUGAGAGACUGAUCGGGCCACAUUGGGGACUGAGACACGGGCCCAAAACUCCUACGGGGAGGCAGCAGUAGGGAAUCUUCCACAAUGGACGCAAGUCUGAUGGAGCAACGCCGCGUGAGUGAAGAAGGGUUUCGGCUCGUAAAGCUCUGUUGUUGGUGAAGAAGGACAGGGGUAGUAACUGACCUUCGUUUGACGGUAAUCAAUUAGAAGUCACGGCUAACUACGUGCCAGCAGCCGCGGUAAU